AACCAAGGCUAUACCACCCUGAACCUGCCCGAUCUCCUUGGAUCUUUGAAGUUAACUGGGUCGGUCCUGAUUAGUAUUGUAUGGGAGACAAUGUGCUUCUGAAAGUUCCACAGCUUGAAAACUGUAUGAAGGGGUUC
This 137-nucleotide ribosomal RNA is filed under the name Echinops telfairi (small Madagascar hedgehog). Lineage: Eukaryota; Metazoa; Chordata; Mammalia; Afrosoricida; Tenrecidae. The record is from RNAcentral.